This is a long non-coding RNA of Magnolia sinica, 313 nucleotides long. RefSeq lists it as uncharacterized. The record is from RefSeq and is a predicted model, not a curated record. NCBI's taxonomy places the organism in Eukaryota, Viridiplantae, Streptophyta, Magnoliopsida, Magnoliales, Magnoliaceae. The transcript is spliced from 2 exons.
UGGAAUAUACGAAGCUGUUAUAGGAAGUGACUUUGUCAUUACUAGAGUUGCAUUUCGAGACAACUCUUCAAAGUACUACAUAAAUGACCGUGAAGUAAUUUUACAGAGGUCACUAAGAAAUUGAAAGGAAAAAGAGUAGACUUGGACAACAAUCGGUUUUUGAUUCUUCAGGGUGAAGUCGAGCAAAUUUCUCUAAUGAAGCCAAAGAUUUGUAUUUUCAGCAUUAUUGUAAUUGUAAUUGUAAUUGAUUGAAUGAAGGAUUGUAAUUGAUUGUAAUUGUAAUUGAUUGAAUGAAGGAUUGUAAUUGAAUGAA